CAAUAGCGUAUAUUAACGUUGUUGCAGUUAAAAAGCUCGUAGUUGAAUUUUUGCUUGCCGCCGAUGUCGGAACUUCCGUACGUUCGGCGGCGUGCAUCCUUGGGUGGAACCUGUGUGGCAUUAGGUUGUCGUGCAGGGGAUGCUCAUCGUUUACUGUGAAAAAAUUAGAGUGUUCAAAGCAGGCUUAUGCCGUUGAAUAUAUUAGCAUGGAAUAAUAAGAUAGGACCUUGGUACUAUUUUGUUGGUUUGCGCACCGAGGUAAUGAUUAACAGGGACAGUUGGGGGUAUUCGUAUUCCAUUGUCAGAGGUGAAAUUCUUGGAUUUCUGGAAGACGAACUACUGCGAAAGCAUUUACCAAGGAUGUUUUCAUUAA
Molecule: ribosomal RNA, 373 nt
Filed under: uncultured eukaryote
Lineage: Eukaryota
Description: partial 18S ribosomal RNA
Rfam family: Eukaryotic small subunit ribosomal RNA
Source: RNAcentral